This 301-nucleotide long non-coding RNA is filed under the name Manacus vitellinus (golden-collared manakin). RNAcentral's name for it is "lncRNA (ENSMVIG00005008607.1)". The record is from RNAcentral. Lineage: Eukaryota; Metazoa; Chordata; Aves; Passeriformes; Pipridae.
CUACUAAAUACGCACCCAUCUGCCUAAGAUGGAGUGGGAACCAGCUCCUCUGAGGUGGCUUAAAUAUCUGCUGGUCUGCUGCUGAAUGAGAGACUGCCACAGAGUUAUCUGGAACAUUACCAAGGAUUUUCUGUUGGGAACGCAGAUGCACCUGCACUGAUGUGCUCUUGGAUGCCAAAGAGACUGUGUGACUAUGGGGGUUUUUUUUUUAGCUGAUUGCUUGGAUCUGACACUACAGGCUGUGCAGCUGUAGAAAAGACCUUCUCAUUUUCAUUGAGAAUAAAUAAAAUAAAAUAUUGCA